CGGCCGCGGUAUUUUGACCGUGCAAAGGUAGCGCAAUCACUUGUCUUUUAAAUAGAGACCUGUAUGAAUGGCUAAACGAGGGCUUAACUGUCUCCCCCUUCAAGUCAGUGAAAUUGAUCUACCCGUGCAGAAGCGGGUAUAACCAUACAAGACGAGAAGACCCUUUGGAGCUUAAGGUACAAAAUUCAACCACGUUAAGCAACUUAAUAAAAAGCAAAAACUUAGCGGAAAAUGAAAUUUUACCUUCGGUUGGGGCGACCGCGGAGGAAAAACAAGCCUCCGAGUGGAGUGGGCCAAACCCCUAAAACCAAGAGAAACAUCUCUAAGCCACAGAACAUCUGACCAAAAAUGAUCCGGCCAAUAAGACCGAUCAACGAACCAAGUUACCCUAGGGAUAACAGCGCAAUCCCCUCCCAGAGUCCAUAUCGACGAGGGGGUUUACGACCUCGAUGUUGGAUCAGGACAUCCUAAUGGUGCAGCCGCUAUUAAGGGUU
This 494-nucleotide ribosomal RNA is filed under the name Megalobrama skolkovii. RNAcentral's name for it is "partial 16S ribosomal RNA". It matches the Rfam family "Bacterial large subunit ribosomal RNA", at positions 1928 to 2573 of the family's 2925-position model. Lineage: Eukaryota; Metazoa; Chordata; Actinopteri; Cypriniformes; Xenocyprididae. The record is from RNAcentral.